RNAcentral lists this small nucleolar RNA (67 nucleotides) under Sus scrofa (pig). RNAcentral's name for it is "Small nucleolar RNA SNORD113/SNORD114 family (ENSSSCG00070010534.1)". Lineage: Eukaryota; Metazoa; Chordata; Mammalia; Artiodactyla; Suidae. The record is from RNAcentral.
UGGACCAAUGAAGAUCUGGGGUGUCUGAACUAAUGAUUUUGAUUAAAUCCUUAACUUUGAGGUCAGA